Molecule: long non-coding RNA, 981 nt
Filed under: Homo sapiens (human)
Lineage: Eukaryota; Metazoa; Chordata; Mammalia; Primates; Hominidae
Description: HSALNT0260499
Source: RNAcentral
CUUAUCUGCCUGCCUAGGACGCAAGUACCGGGUGCCAAGCUGAGAGCCUGGAUGAUAUUUCACAUGUGCCGGUCCCAAAGGAAUUCCUUAACUCCCCCUUCCUGGAACCGAAAUGCUUCCAAAGACAGAGAGCUCGUAUAUAUAUUUCUCUGUUUUACCCAGCGGACCGUGCAUGAAAGGCGCCUUUCCUGGCGCGUGUGUCUCUGACCCUGUGGAUCUUCUGGACAAUUCCCGGAAUUUCUUGCAGGGUAGCACUUUCCCUUAAGUCGUCUCUUUCUCGUUUGGAUAGUCAGUAUUUGUAUAGUCACUAUUCUCUUUUGGUUAGCCAUCCAAUUUUAUACUGCUAGUCCAGUUCUACUGCCUUCCCCCUAGAGUUUGAAUUUAUUUUUCUUCAAACGCGACACAAACCCAAAUAAACUCAACCAAAGCGGACUUUACCUACCUACCUACCUACUUACCAAGAAAAUAUCCCAUAAAGGAGAGAACAGAGAAGCUUGCAAUACAGGAAGAAAAAAGAAAAGAAUUACAGAAUGGAAGCGAUGUGUGCGCUAAAAAUGCAGUGCUGCUGCUACCUACCAUAAUGUGUUUGUUGCAAGAUCCACAAGAACGUGGAUGCCAAGAAUCCACAAAAAAACAGAUGCAACCGUUGAUGAGGCCAUAAGCAGAAACAGUAAAUGGUUCCCACGUUUCCUCUGCUUUAACUACUGAUGAUGAAAUGCAAGUCAUAAGGCAAAUAGAAGGGCUGUACUGAUACAGACAAAAUGUUAUUAUUAUGGGAAGGGAUAAGUCUCUUGUAAAACCUCGAAAUUUUUUUCUUCUUUGAGAAAAAUCUAUCACCUAUUUUCACCCUGCUCUUGAUAUAGCAAAUAUUGUAAGUUGUCUUAUGGAGGACAGGAUGAUUCAGGGAGGACGGUGAAUGGGUUGACUCAAUCCAGAAAAGGAAGAGGAAAAUAAAAAGACAUAACGACCAAUCUGUGAAAA